UACGAAGGGGGCUAGCGUUGUUCGGAAUUACUGGGCGUAAAGCGCACGUAGGCGGCUUUCCAAGUUGGAGGUGAAAUCCCUGGGCUUAACCCAGGAACUGCCCCCAAGACUGGAAGGCUCGAGUCCGAGAGAGGUGAGUGGAAUUUCCAGUGUAGAGGUGAAAUUCGUAGAUAUUGGAAAGAACACCAGUGGCGAAGGCGGCUCACUGGCUCGGUACUGACGCUGAGGUGCGACAGCGUGGGGAGCAAACAGG
Molecule: ribosomal RNA, 253 nt
Filed under: uncultured bacterium
Lineage: Bacteria
Description: partial 16S ribosomal RNA
Rfam family: Bacterial small subunit ribosomal RNA
Source: RNAcentral